RNAcentral lists this ribosomal RNA (533 nucleotides) under Paecilomyces variotii. RNAcentral's name for it is "partial large subunit ribosomal RNA". It matches the Rfam family "Eukaryotic large subunit ribosomal RNA", at positions 99 to 647 of the family's 3401-position model. Lineage: Eukaryota; Fungi; Ascomycota; Eurotiomycetes; Eurotiales; Thermoascaceae. The record is from RNAcentral.
CGGCAAGAGCUCAAAUUUGAAAUCUGGCCCCUCCGGGGUCCGAGUUGUAAUUUGCAGAGGAUGCUUCGGGCGCGGUCCCCGUCUAAGUACCCUGGAACGGGUCGUCAUAGAGGGUGAGAAUCCCGUCUGGGACGGGUGGCCGUGUCCGUGUGAAGCUCCUUCGACGAGUCGAGUUGUUUGGGAAUGCAGCUCUAAAUGGGUGGUAAAUUUCAUCUAAAGCUAAAUAUUGGCCGGAGACCGAUAGCGCACAAGUAGAGUGAUCGAAAGAUGAAAAGCACUUUGAAAAGAGAGUUAAACAGCACGUGAAAUUGUUGAAAGGGAAGCGCUUGCGACCAGACUCGCCCGCGGGGGUUCAGCCGGUACUCGUACCGGUGUACUCCCCCGGGGGCGGGCCAGCGUCGGUUUGGGCGGUCGGUCAAAGGCCUCCGGAAUGUGUCGCCCCCCGGGGCGUCUUAUAGCCGGAGGUGCAAUGCGGCCAGCCUGGACCGAGGAACGCGCUUCGGCUCGGACGCUGGCGUAAUGGUCGUAAGCGG